CCUACUCUGUAGCGAGUAGUAGCCUAGGGAUAGUGCGUUUCUGGUAACGGAUUCGUGCGGAGUUUCCUAACAAUGUAUCCCCGUAAUGGUGCUAGUUCUCCGUGAGGAGGUUAGUAGAUAUCGACAAAGACAGUCGAUUGAGGAG
Molecule: non-coding RNA, 145 nt
Organism: Vibrio panuliri
Lineage: Bacteria; Pseudomonadati; Pseudomonadota; Gammaproteobacteria; Vibrionales; Vibrionaceae
Source: Rfam